This 990-nucleotide long non-coding RNA is filed under the name Ananas comosus (pineapple). RNAcentral's name for it is "long non-coding RNA (ACOM_LNC025004)". Lineage: Eukaryota; Viridiplantae; Streptophyta; Magnoliopsida; Poales; Bromeliaceae. The record is from RNAcentral.
AGAUGUGUGAUAUUUUAGUUCUCGAAUUUUUAAUGUGUUAUAUUUUUUUACUCAAACUAUAUAUAAGGCACAUGAUGUUUUAGUCCUCAAACUUUAAUUAGUUGCAAUUUGUGGCUCUAGCGAUAAGAUAUAUGAUAUUUUAAUUCUCAAUUUUUACUGCUAUUAUAAAUAUAAUUUUAUUAUUCUUAUUUUUCUCUUCUUAUAUUUUUAUUUUUAUGUUUUUACUGUAGCAAAUGUUGCUUCUUCUUAAGUUUCCUUUAUUUGUAUUCUUUUUUACUCUUUAACUUUUUGUAUUAAUUUUUAGUUUUAUUUAUUAUUUUUUUCUACGAAAAUGAUCCGGCGCAUCGUGCAGGUAGCUUCACUAGCAUAUACUAGAAACCUCACAUGUUACUAUAAUAUUAGACACAAUUACUAGCUAGUACACAGCUACUUGACUCGAUCAACUGAUCCUUACACAUAUUCGCAAAUCAAGUACAGUAUUGUUUUUUUUGAGCAAUUGAUUAUAUAUCUCCGAAAAGUUUUCGACUUUCUGAUUUACGCCUCUUAGAAGGCUAAUAUUAAAAAUGUCGUUUUUACGUUCCAACUUAUUUCAAAUAUACCCCUAAAAUUAAAAUAAGAAUAAAUAAAAUAUUUUUGAAAUUUUGAAAGAUAUAUAGACAAUUAAUUUUUUUUUUUUUUAACAAUGCUAUAUGUACAGUCCAUGAGAGAUGUACAAUAUUCUAUACUCCACGAGGAAUUCUGCACUAUUUGCACCACAUCAUCAAUAACAAGCUAAUCAUUUUUCUUUUUUUCAAACAAAAAUACAAUAAAAAUAUUUUUUUAUAAUCAUGAUGAGACAUAUAUCUUUAAAAAAAAAAUUUUGAUUGAUUUGUUACGCCACAUGAUCAAUAUACCCAUUGUAUUUUAGAAUGUUUCAUACUCCACACAUCCACUAGGUGGGGUGGGGUGUUAACGAUCAGGCACAAUUGACACCCCACCGAUUGGAUAGGU